Molecule: ribosomal RNA, 487 nt
Filed under: uncultured bacterium
Lineage: Bacteria
Description: bacterial SSU rRNA
Rfam family: Bacterial small subunit ribosomal RNA
Source: RNAcentral
CUACGUGCCAGCAGCCGCGGUAAUACGUAGGGUGCGAGCGUUAAUCGGAAUUACUGGGCGUAAAGCGAGCGCAGACGGUUACUUAASCAGGAUGUGAAAUCCCCGGGCUCAACCUGGGAACUGCGUUCUGAACUGAGUGGCUAGAGUAUGUCAGAGGGGGGUAGAAUUCCACGUGUAGCAGUGAAAUGCGUAGAGAUGUGGAGGAAUACCGAUGGCGAAGGCAGCCCCCUGGGAUAAUACUGACGUUCAUGCUCGAAAGCGUGGGUAGCAAACAGGAUUAGAUACCCUGGUAGUCCACGCCCUAAACGAUGUCGAUUAGCUGUUGGGCAGCUUGACUGCUUAGUAGCGUAGCUAACGCGUGAAAUCGACCGCCUGGGGAGUACGGUCGCAAGAUUAAAACUCAAAGGAAUUGACGGGGACCCGCACAAGCGGUGGAUGAUGUGGAUUAAUUCGAUGCAACGCGAAGAACCUUACCUGGUCUUGACAU